Molecule: unclassified non-coding RNA, 206 nt
Filed under: uncultured Sebacina
Lineage: Eukaryota; Fungi; Basidiomycota; Agaricomycetes; Sebacinales; Sebacinaceae
Description: sequence contains ITS2
Source: RNAcentral
UACUCUCACACUCUCCGAUUUUAUUUCAGAUCGGGAGCGGUGGACUUGGAUGUUGCUGCUUUGUUGUCAGGCUCAUCUCAAAUGCCUUAGUGCAACUCUACUUGGACAUAGUACAGCGUGAUAAGUAUCUUCGCUGGCAACUCGCAAGAGAAUGUCUACUUCGGAGCUCUGUGCUUCAAAAACUGUCCUUUUGACUAUCUCUGACA